This 468-nucleotide ribosomal RNA is filed under the name uncultured bacterium. RNAcentral describes it as "bacterial SSU rRNA". It matches the Rfam family "Bacterial small subunit ribosomal RNA", at positions 355 to 821 of the family's 1533-position model. The record is from RNAcentral.
UGGGGAAUAUUGGACAAUGGGCGAAAGCCUGAUCCAGCCAUGCCGCGUGUGUGAAGAAGGUCUUCGGAUUGUAAAGCACUUUAAGUUGGGAGGAAGGGCAGUUACCUAAUACGUGAUUGUUUUGACGUUACCGACAGAAUAAGCACCGGCUAACUCUGUGCCAGCAGCCGCGGUAAUACAGAGGGUGCAAGCGUUAAUCGGAAUUACUGGGCGUAAAGCGCGCGUAGGUGGUUUGUUAAGUUGGAUGUGAAAUCCCCGGGCUCAACCUGGGAACUGCAUUCAAAACUGACAAGCUAGAGUAUGGUAGAGGGUGGUGGAAUUUCCUGUGUAGCGGUGAAAUGCGUAGAUAUAGGAAGGAACACCAGUGGCGAAGGCGACCACCUGGACUGAUACUGACACUGAGGUGCGAAAGCGUGGGGAGCAAACAGGAUUAGAUACCCAGGUAGUCCCUGAGCGGGCUGGCAAGGC